CCUCCCAAAUCCUGCUUC
Molecule: small nuclear RNA, 18 nt
Filed under: Arabidopsis thaliana (thale cress)
Lineage: Eukaryota; Viridiplantae; Streptophyta; Magnoliopsida; Brassicales; Brassicaceae
Description: snRNA_18360
Source: RNAcentral